GAUGAACGCUGGCGGCGUGCCUAAUACAUGCAAGUCGAGCGAACGGACGAGAAGCUUGCUUCUCUGAUGUUAGCGGCGGACGGGUGAGUAACACGUGGAUAACCUACCUAUAAGACUGGGAUAACUUCGGGAAACCGGAGCUAAUACCGGAUAAUAUUUUGACCCGCAUGGUUCAAGAGUGAAAGACGGUCUUGCUGUCACUUAUAGAUGGAUCCGCGCUGCAUUAGCUAGUUGGUAAGGUAACGGCUUACCAAGGCAACGAUGCAUAACCGACCUGAGAGGGUGAUCGGCCAGACUGGAACUGAGACACGGUCCAGACUCCUGCGGGAGGAAGCAGUAGGGAAUCUUCCGCAAUGGGCGAAAGCCUGACGGAGCAACGCCGCGUGAGUGAUGAAGGUCUUCGGAUCGUAAAACUCUGUUAUUAGGGAAGAACAUAUGUGUAAGUAACUGUGCACAUCUUGACGGUACCUAAUCAGAAAGCCACGGCUAACUACGUG
Molecule: ribosomal RNA, 497 nt
Filed under: uncultured bacterium
Lineage: Bacteria
Description: partial 16S ribosomal RNA
Rfam family: Bacterial small subunit ribosomal RNA
Source: RNAcentral